GCAGGAGGAAAAUGUAUUAUUUUAAUAAAAAGAUAAUAUAUAUAUACGCAGCAAGUGUGCCGGGCACGUGUUUUCUUUCAUCCCGAUUGUCGCCCCCAGCAGGACGUACGUACAGAUAUAUACGUUUUUUCCAGCUGGUCCAUGUGCGUGCGCUUUAUAUAUAUAUUAUAAUAAUAGAAUAGAAUAUAAUGUACGAUGUGAUAUAUUGCGCAAAGAUAUAUUACAUUACAAACGAAAUUCCUCAGUUAAAGGUGCGCGUGCACUUUGUGUGGACGACGGCGAACGGCUGACACGCGUAUAGGUACGACGUUGUUUUCGAAAAAGAUGACGACGAGGUUUAUAAUAUAUUGUAUAGGUAGUAGUAUAUGGUUAUAUUCCAAACGCGACAUAUCGCGCCAAAAAAGAUUCGAUGUCGAUAUCGUCAUGACAUCGUAGUAUAUCAUUAUUUUGGAACCCGAGGUUAGCUGCGCAGAAAAAUUUCUCACGACGUAGUUGUACCAGCUAUAGCUAUAUGAAAUGAAAAUAAAAAGACGAUCACACCACCUUGUUCUGUCGCAGUCUUACAAACGCUCAACACAUAUAGCACAUUUUGAAAAUUCGAUCGAAAUCGACCCCGUGUGUCGUCAAUUAUGUGAAUUUACCAAACCCAAAGGUAGUUACAAUACUAUGAGGAGGUCCGACGACGACGUUACGAUGGGAUGAAGUAUCGACAGGAUCCGCUAAAAUACAAAGUGUGACAUUUAUACGAAUAUUUAAACUAAUGUGAUUUGUUGUUAAUGUAUUUUAAUCGGACCAUCCAAAACGCACAAUGUGACUCAACAAGCGCCGGAUUUCUACAGAUAAUUAGGUGCAUUAUUAUAGUGAAGCUAUUAGAAAUCGCUACGAGAAACCAAACGGUUUUCCUGUGGUAUAAUUUCUCGUUUUCGUUAGUAAAACACGUUCUCUGUAUGUAAAUGAUUAUGAUUUUACGAUCCUCGCGUGCGGUUAACGUGAAACGACGACGAAGACGACAUCAAUAUAAUAUAGAAGCAUGGUGUGAUCGUCACACACGACACAUUAUAAUAAUAUCUAAGACGACGAAUGUAUUAAUAAGUAUAUUGUAUAUGGUAUUAUUGUAGAUAAUCGGCGGUCAGUGACCGGAAUAGACAAAAUUCGAAUACGCGCUAAUAUAAUAUAGGCUUCAGUCGGACCGGGAAGACGUGUGCCGCCGAGAGAAUUGGUGCUGGCGACGGCGGCGGCGGCGGUGGCAAACGGUCGUCGCGGAAACGGAAACGAUCAGAGACGGCGGCGGUAGCGAAGCGCGCUUUGAAUAUUUGAUUGGGCCGAAACUUCCGAAAUCGGUUGACCACGAAAAUCGGAAACACGGCGGGUCCGGUAGCCCGACAUCCGGCAAUGUACGCAGUCGUGUGAUGGAGGUACACGAUCGCCACGUAUCGACAGAAAAUAAAAUGACGACGAGCCGCUGAAACAGCACGGCUGGUAAACGCGUGGCAGCGGGUGUACGCCGCGGACGAAUGGUAUAAAACCGUAUUUUUGGGGGGCCACGGUGAAUCUGCUGGGCAUCAGGUAACGCGUGUAAGAUUGACGGCGUGAUCAGCGGCGGCGGCGGCGGAGGAGGAUCGUUGGAAACAGCAGCCCGUCGGCCCGUCAGAAACAGCAGCGGCCACGGACAGAACGCCGAGCAAAGCAGCUGUUGCGUGCACCUGGUGCCCAGGACGAUGACGACGUCGACAACGACUACGGAGACGACGACGGAGACGGCGAAGAGACCUCGCGGGCCUUAACACACAGACACGUUUGGAUGAGGAGACGGCAGCUGGUCCGUCAGCAUGAACAUUAAUAUAUACAAACGCAUGCACACACAAGCCCGAGGAAGACAGUCGCGGGGCACAGACACACGCACACACACACACACGAACAUCAUACGAAUAAAAGAUUUCAACUCACGAUAAAGACAUCUAACUGUGUGCGGGUAGGAGGACGGAACUAAACGGGAAUAACGAGCUACAAAUAAUAAAUAUAAUCUACCAGAACCUAUGCAUACAGGGUGGCUCGGUCACUAUUGUAACCGCGGUUCCCCGUUUCCUAUUGCAUUAUUCAUAUAAGAGAAAACGGGAAAACGUCCGCAGUGGGCCACCGCAUACCCGUAUGAAAAAAUGUCGAUCCAAAUUACUCCGUCAACAAAAAUUCGAAUGAAACACGCAGAAAUGCAUUAAUUCCACAGUUUUGUUAAUAAUUAAAAAUAUAGGUAGGUAUAUAUACAUAAUGUAUUUUAUGUAUACUAGGCAGAAACACUUGUUACAUAUGGUACGAUAGGUUUAAACCAUUAUUAUAUAAUAUCAUAAAAAAUAAAACUUUAUGCGUUUGUUUACAAGUCUAGAUGAUGGUGUGUUCUCCGCACAAGCGAUGCAGUCUCCAAAACCAUAUAAUAUUUUUCGAGGUCACUAUUUCUUUUGUGUUUGUUUUGAAGUUUGGAAAGUUUUACGCCCCGAACAUAUAAGAUAACACGAUGACUGAUGAUGAGAGCUGUGUCUCGUGAAACGGCUGUGACGUAAUUGAGGGGGCGAUGGAUGUAUAUGCCCCCCACGCUUUGUGAACGGAUCUCAGGUUUUUAGUUGCAGGACCCAAUAAGAAUCGUUAAUUUUGAGGAUUUUCAAAAAACAUUAUACGAGUCGCCGCGUAAAUAGAAAACCUUCUAUAAGGGUGGAAGACACGGUCGCUUCAAGGAUUCGAGUUUUCAAAAAAAUCGAGAAAAAACAAAAAAAGAAGUGACGGAAAAAUGGGAAUUUUUAUGCAAAACCAGUUUUUGAUAAAAUCGAUUGUAACUCAAAAAGGAAUCACUGUUAUAUUAUCACGGUUACGGUAUACAAGCAUUUCACGUCUCGACAUACAGAUAGCGUUACAUUGUCAUAAUAUAAAUAAUAAAUUCAUGAUAAUAAUAAAUAUUAUCAUGAAUUAUAUAUAGUAAUAGCGCAGAAUAGAAUAAUAGCCUGUUAUAGUAAUACAGUGAAAUCUGUGUAAUAUGGAAACGGUGGUGACCGGAUAUUUUUUCCAUUUAAUACAGGUAUUAUGGACAUGAUAACAAAUUAAACUUUAUAUCUUUCUCAGUUUUCAAUAAGUCUUAUUAUUAUUUAUGUUUUUGUGCAUACAUUUUGUUUAAAUAUAUAUUCAAUUUAGUCAAAUGUGAACAUUAUAUUGCCGAUACACACUUUUUAUAAUAAAUAAUUAUAAAUGUCAUUCAUUAAAAAUCAACGUGGAUACAACGAUAAGAACAUGUGUAAAUAUUAAAAAAUUGUUGAACACAGUAUUUGCAGAUAUGUGUUCGGCGUAUGCACACAAUAUGAUGUACAUCAAAAGGGUAGUUUGCAUCGCUUGGUUGCAUAAAAGGGUUGUUUUCACAAAAACCAAAAUAUGAUCACCAGUCAACCGUCUUAUUGCAGGUUUCGAGGCGUUGAGGAUUAGAAAAAAGAAACCACACACAUACACGCUCUACCGCCUAUACCACAUAUAUUAUAUAAAGCAUAUACAUAUACCCAUUUAUCAUGAAUUAUCCUAUAGGAGAUAUCUAAAGGUGUGAUAUAUGUCUUCUUAAGCAUUGUCCAGUACGUUAACGCAUCGGUGAAGCUUUUCGGAAGUUUCACACUUCACGCGACGAUAUUCAGCUGCGCAUCGGCCGGGAUUUAAUAUACAAGCAGGCCGCGAUUGAUCGAUUUUUUUCAAGUUAUUUUAAUCUAACAUUCUAUCAACUUGUAUUUUGUGAUUUGUGAGUUUCAACAGUGUUUAUGCACAAAAAGAUGUGUGGAAAUCAUUAUUUUCAACAGAAAAAAUUAAGAAAAUUUAGAUUUUUAUUUUUAAAUAGAGGUUUUACACACCUGAUAUUAACAUUUUUCUAUUAUUUUUCAUUUCACAACAUUUUAAGUACGGAAAAAUACUUAAAGAAUUCCACGAAUUGAAGAAUUGGUUUGUUGAAAGAGUGACCUGCGAGUUUCAAAACUGUACAUUCAUAAAAUCUGACAAAAAGCUUCAUACUUAUUAUUCUUAAUAAUUGUCGAACACAUACAUAACCCAUUUUUAUUAUUAUCAUAGUAACCAACAUUAAAAAGAAAAUAACUAAAAGAAUAAACUACUGUUAUGAGUAUAGAAAAUAUGUAAAAGUAUCAUUUAGCUACAACGUUCGAACAACUAAAUUAGAAAAUCUUGGAUAGAUGACUAGCGUAAUGGAACCAUCAAUAAUUAAGGAUAUAGAUGCCUAUUUUUUUAUAAACUUUAAAAUGUAAGUAUGUAACUCUAUCAAAUUAGAGAAAUACAUUUUAAAUUCAUUGUCUUUGAAACAGAAUAAACACGAGUAUAAUAGGUAUUUUAAUAAUAAUAUACAAUAUACUACUUUCAAAAUAUUCUUUUAUUUUCAGUCGUGUGCUUGAAUUUUCUUUUAUAUUUCAUAAUAAAGUUCAAAACUUUAUUGAUUACUAUAACUAUAUUUUGUACAUUUUUGGACUAAUUGUUACAAAUAUACGUAUGAUGCAAUUUUAAAAUCAACAUAAUAAAUACCUAAUAGAAACGAUAAGAUAUUAAAUAUAUAUUUUAUACCACGUAUAGUUGGAUUUUGCAUUGUCAUAGGUAUUUACUUAGAGACGAGUAGAAGUGUUGAAUAGAAAUAAAACUACUUUAGUUUACAUAUUAUACGUCUAAACACACAAAUAAAUGGUCUCUACAACUAUGUUUUUAAAUCAUUUAUUGAUAUAUUACAAAGUAAAAUAAAAUUGCAGGAAAUACUGGAGUUCAAAAUGAUAACUGUUGUCAAUUACUACGUCAUAUUUAUACUUGUUUUGUAAAUUAAUAAUUAAUUUUUUUUUUUAACUUUUAUUUUUAAAGCUUACAUAUAAUUAAUAAACAAUUUUAUAUUUCAUGACAUUUGUUCAAACACUCAUAUUAUGUAGAUAUGCAGUAUACCUAUGAAUUGGCUAUUAUACAUGGGCACCAAGGUACUAACUACUGAUAAUAGUACCUUACAUGUUCAAAUUAUGACGCAAAUGUCAGUUUAUACAAUUUUAAGCUACUUAAAUUAAAGUUUACGCUUACAAUAAUUAGCUACAGAAAUGAACUAAUUGGUCGAAAAUCGAGACCCAUACACGGCUAUUAUACAUAUAUUAUCGUAAUUCGAUGCUUUGAAUAAACAGUCGGUAGGUAAUACGUCAUAAACUAAGUAUAUGUAUACUUACGCGGGCGUACACCUAAAUAUACGACAUUAUACGAGGCACGUGCUAAAUACAUUUCUCGGUCUCUCGCUCUGUUGUUCGACGUAAUGCCGCGAAAAACGAUAUAUAAUAGAAAACUGGGCACACAUCUUUACACGAUUGCGGCUCCAUUCCUUUGAAUCGUACCGACACGGUUUUUGCACAUGCUCGUUGAUUACAGACCGCCACCGUUGCCGACGCCGCCGCCGACGCUGCCGCCAGCGGCUAAGAUCUGACCUUUUUGCGUGGAUACCGCCUCUGGAGCCAGCUGAAAAAAAAAUUUGUUCAACAACAACAAUCCGAGCGGCCCUUUGGGUCGUACGAUAUGUACCAACUACCGAGAUACAGGACAACGCCGUAGCUGGAACAAAUUGAACAAAUUUUCGUGGGGAGGAGAGAAGUGCCGAUGGUACCGAGGUAGCUGCUAUCGCUAUUCGUCGUUCCGUAACUCACACGACGAAAAUAUUAGCGAGCGGCCACAAAGUUGAGCGAAAAAAUCUCAGUAUAUGCGAUUAAAACCCGUGGUGCUUAUUUUUGUUUAGAGAUUUUGUCUGUAAUUUAAAAUUCAUAAAAUUUAAUAGGUAUAAUUACAUUAUAUCCAUCGAAUUCGUCAAAAUCUAUAUGUACAUGUAUAAUAAAUAAUAAUAGUUAAAUUCGUUUUAGUGUUGCUUAAUGCUGGUUUAUGUACGGCAGGGAUGGCAAAGAUCUGUAAAACUCAGAUUUCAAUGGAAAUUCUAGUCAUUUGUAAUGUUCCUCACACUGCUAUGCAUGUAUUGAGUAUUCCCAAUAUUGAUUUUUAAACGAUAUAUGAAUUCUAUGUGUGUGUGUGUGUACUACAAAUAUUCGAAAAAUGUUUUUCUAUUUUCAACUUUGAGGGUGGUUUCUGGUAGAAAAUUGGACUUAAUUUGUACUUUAAAUAGGUACAAAUUAAAUAUUCACAGUAUUUUUCAAAAUAAUUGAGAAAAACAAACGAAAAUUUAAGUAAAACAUAAAACAUAAAACCAAAUUUUGACAAAGUCUAUUUAAUUUUUUUAGCCUAUCUUACACAAAACUAAUAAUGACAGACCGUCUCCGUUCAGGAUUGUUUUUUUGUUUAUAAUGAUGUAUUAUUGAAUUCAAAUUUAACUUAUCCAUUAUAAGAAAUUUACUCGACACCUAUUGUACAGUUUCCACCUUUUUUAAUUAUAUAUAUUUUCGAUGCCAUAUAUUGUGAAUAAUAUGUAUAAAAAAUAUUAUGCGUUUGGUACCUAUAGUAUAUUAUGUUACAAGCAAUUUAAAUUUAUGUUGCCUACUGUAUAGUCAAAAAUAACUAUAAUUAAUAUUAUUACGAUUUUAUUUUGUUUUUUAUGUUUAAUUAUACCAUAUUAUAAUAUAAUACACACUGUUGAUUUUUACCGUUCAUGUUCAAUUUAUGGUCUGACGGGGAUGAUAUAUUUUUUGUUGCCUACGGGCACAUAUACAUUAUAAUAUUAAUGAUAUGUGUGCUUAUUGGUGAGCCUCUAAAUACAACUCCGGUUCAAAUGUUUCAUAUUAUGAAUAAUAAUUUUAAUUUAAUAGUUAUCUUAAGGAAAUAAAAUAUUAACUACUGUUAUUUCGGUGAAUGAAAUCGAGAUAAAACAAUUUACGAAUGAAUACCGAUGUAAUAAUAUUAUAAUGUAGUGAUAUUUUAUGUAAGAUACUAAAUUAUAUAAAUAAUCGAACUGAGCUGCUACACAUCUUUUUAAGUAUAAUAGUUCAUAGCCUGCGGUAUUACGAUUAAAAUCAUUUCGAUUUGUCUUUCGAACAACAUAAUAUACAAUUAUAAUAAAUCCUUCGUUUAAAAACGACUAUAGCUACUAUACGAUUAUAUUAUAUAGGUAACAGCACCGUUUAACGUUUUUUACUUUUCGAUUUUAGAGCUAUUAUAGGCGUUAUCAAUUUUUUUCUUUUUAUAAUCAUUACUAAAAAAAUUAUUCGAUGGGUCAAAAAUCAAAAUUCUUGAAAAUUUAUUACAUAUACAAGUUCCU
This is a long non-coding RNA of Aphis gossypii (cotton aphid), 7240 nucleotides long. RefSeq lists it as uncharacterized. The record is from RefSeq and is a predicted model, not a curated record. The transcript has 20 exons. Lineage: Eukaryota; Metazoa; Arthropoda; Insecta; Hemiptera; Aphididae.